UUUAAAGCUGCACUUGAUCAAUCGUUUCCAUCUCACCCUGUCCUCUGUAUCUUCCUCUGUCACACCAACCUCCUGCAUGUCCUCCCUCAGCACAUCUAUAAACUUCCUCUUUGUCCUCCUUCUUCUUGUCCUGCCUGGUGGGUCCAUCCUCAGCAUCCUUCUCCCUAUAUACCCUGGGUCCCUCCUCUGCACAUGUCCAAACCAUCUCAGUCUCGCCUCUCUGACUUUGUCUCCAAACCGUCCCACCUGAGCUGUCCCUCUG
This is a long non-coding RNA of Thalassophryne amazonica, 262 nucleotides long. RefSeq lists it as uncharacterized. The transcript is spliced from 3 exons. The record is from RefSeq and is a predicted model, not a curated record. NCBI's taxonomy places the organism in Eukaryota, Metazoa, Chordata, Actinopteri, Batrachoidiformes, Batrachoididae.